This 314-nucleotide small RNA is filed under the name Histoplasma ohiense. RNAcentral's name for it is "hypothetical lncRNA". The record is from RNAcentral. Lineage: Eukaryota; Fungi; Ascomycota; Eurotiomycetes; Onygenales; Ajellomycetaceae.
CUAUCAGGAGACCGCCAGCUUCGGGAUCAACCAACGAGCGUUAAGUGUUGGGGAAAUUCCAACAAAUGCAGCAGUAAGGGAUUUUGGCAGGCGAAAACGAUCGCACCCGGGUCGAACAGAUCGACGGGGCGACAUAUCAGGUUGAUUGCAAAUUGUCCCGCCAAGGUACGGCUACAUCGCCGAAUUUCUGAACUAAAGUCGCGACUGAUAUUUCCUUGGGAGUUCGACAUCGUCACUUCUUACGAAAAAAAUUUUAUACCUAGCAGUUUUACACCUAUGUAUUCAGUGGUUUAUAUACUUUAUUUUGCGCGCAC